GAUGAACGCUGGCGGCGUGCCUAGUACAUGCAAGUCGAGCGAACGGACGAGAAGCUUGCUUCUCUGAUGUUAGCGGCGGACGGGUGAGUAACACGUGGAUAACCUACCUAUAAGACUGGGAUAACUUCGGGAAACCGUAGCUAAUACCGGAUAAUAUUUUGAACCGCAUGGUUCAAAAGUGAAAGACGGUCUUGCUGUCACUUAUAGAUGGAUCCGCGCUGCAUUAGCUAGUUGGUAAGGUAACGGCUUAUCAAGGCAACGAUGCAUAGCCGACCUGAGAGGGUGAUCGGCCACACUGGAACUGAGACACGGUCCAGACUCCUACGGGAGGCAGCAGUAGGGAAUCUUCCGCAAUGGGCGAAAGCCUGACGGAGCAACGCCGCGUGAGUGAUGAAGGUCUUCGGAUCGUAAAACUCUGUUAUUAGGGAAGAACAUAUGUGUAAGUAACUGUGCACAUCUUGACGGUACCUAAUCAGAAAGCCACGGCUAACUACGUG
This 497-nucleotide ribosomal RNA is filed under the name uncultured bacterium. RNAcentral describes it as "partial 16S ribosomal RNA". It matches the Rfam family "Bacterial small subunit ribosomal RNA", at positions 28 to 507 of the family's 1533-position model. The record is from RNAcentral.